Molecule: ribosomal RNA, 381 nt
Filed under: uncultured eukaryote
Lineage: Eukaryota
Description: partial 18S ribosomal RNA
Rfam family: Eukaryotic small subunit ribosomal RNA
Source: RNAcentral
CAAUAGCGUAUAUUAAAGUUGUUGCGGUAAAAAAGCUCGUAGUUGGAUUUCUACCGAAGAUAGCCGGUCGGGUCUUCGACCUUGUAUCUGGUUUUGUCUUUGGUAUCCUCAUAGGGAACGUUUCUGCGCUUUAUUGCGUGGUGCGGUAUCUAUGACUUUUACUUUGAGGAAAUUAGAGUGUUCACGGCAGGCAAACGCCUCGAAUAUAUUAGCAUGGAAUAAUAACAUAGGAUCUUCGUCCUAUUUUGUUGGUUUCUAGGGCUAAGAUAAUGAUUAAUAGGGAUAAUUGGGGGCAUCUGUAUCAACGCGUCAGAGGUGGAAUUCUUGGAUUGCGUUGCGACAAACUACUGCGAAAGCAUUUGCCAAGGAUGUUUUCAUUGA